GCUGUGUCUGCUGUGAUAAUCUUGAGAGUGAU
RNAcentral lists this non-coding RNA (32 nucleotides) under Geobacter sulfurreducens PCA. The record is from RNAcentral. Lineage: Bacteria; Pseudomonadati; Thermodesulfobacteriota; Desulfuromonadia; Geobacterales; Geobacteraceae.